CCGUGAGACAGGUGCUGCAUGGCUGUCGUCAGCUCGUGUUGUGAAAUGUUGGGUUAAGUCCCGCAACGAGCGCAACCCUUAUCCUUGUUGCCAGCGGUCCGGCCGGGAACUCAAAGGAGACUGCCAGUGAUAAACUGGAGGAAGGUGGGGAUGACGUCAAGUCAUCAUGGCCCUUACGACCAGGGCUACACACGUGCUACAAUGGCGCAUACAAAGAGAAGCGACCUCGCGAGAGCAAGCGGACCUCAUAAAGUGCGUCGUAGUCCGGAUUGGAGUCUGCAACUCGACUCCAUGAAGUCGGAAUCGCUAGUAAUCGUGGAUCAGAAUGCCACGGUGAAUACGUUCCCGGGCCUU
RNAcentral lists this ribosomal RNA (354 nucleotides) under uncultured Enterobacteriaceae bacterium. RNAcentral's name for it is "bacterial SSU rRNA". It matches the Rfam family "Bacterial small subunit ribosomal RNA", at positions 1027 to 1382 of the family's 1533-position model. The record is from RNAcentral. Lineage: Bacteria; Pseudomonadati; Pseudomonadota; Gammaproteobacteria; Enterobacterales; Enterobacteriaceae.